This 519-nucleotide ribosomal RNA is filed under the name uncultured bacterium. RNAcentral's name for it is "bacterial SSU rRNA". It matches the Rfam family "Bacterial small subunit ribosomal RNA", at positions 63 to 610 of the family's 1533-position model. The record is from RNAcentral.
CGAACGAGCACCGAUUUCUUCGGAAUGACGUGCUGAGUGGCGGACGGGUGAGUAACGCGUGGGUACCUGCCUUAUACAGGGGGAUAACAGUUAGAAAUGACUGCUAAUACCGCAUAAGAUUGCAUGAUAAAAACUCCGGUGGUAUAAGAUGGACCCGCGUCUGAUUAGCUGGUUGGUGAGGUAACGGCCCACCAAGGCGACGAUCAGUAGCCGACCUGAGAGGGUGACCGGCCACAUUGGGACUGAGACACGGCCCAAACUCCUACGGGAGGCAGCAGUGGGGAAUAUUGCACAAUGGGGGAAACCCUGAUGCAGCGACGCCGCGUGAGCGAAGAAGUAUUUCGGUAUGUAAAGCUCUAUCAGCAGGGAAGAAAAAAAUGACGGUACCUGACUAAGAAGCCCCGGCUAACUACGUGCCAGCAGCCGCGGUAAUACGUAGGGGGCAAGCGUUAUCCGGAUUUACUGGGUGUAAAGGGAGCGCAGGCGGUGCGGCAAGUCUGAUGUGAAAGCCCGGGGCUC